CCCCCCUCAAGAUGAGAUUUCCCAUAGCGUAAGCUAGUAAGAUCCCUGAAAGAUGAUCAGGUUGAUAGGUUCGAGGUGGAAGCAUGGUGACAUGUGGAGCUGACGAAUACUAAUAGAUCGAGGACUUAACCA
Molecule: ribosomal RNA, 132 nt
Filed under: Bacillus mycoides
Lineage: Bacteria; Bacillati; Bacillota; Bacilli; Caryophanales; Bacillaceae
Also listed under: 1 other name
Description: 23S rRNA. Bacterial LSU
Rfam family: Bacterial large subunit ribosomal RNA
Source: RNAcentral